Molecule: ribosomal RNA, 468 nt
Filed under: uncultured bacterium
Lineage: Bacteria
Description: partial 16S ribosomal RNA
Rfam family: Bacterial small subunit ribosomal RNA
Source: RNAcentral
GACGAACGCUGGCGGCGUGCUUAACACAUGCAAGUCGAACGGAAAGGCCCGGCUUUUGUGGGGUGCUCGAUUGGCGAACGGGUGAGUAACACGUGAGUAACCUGCCCUUGACUUUGUGAUAACUUCAGGAAACUGGGGCUAAUACCGGAUAUGAGCUCCUGCUGCAUGGGGGGGGUUGGAAAGUUUCGGCGGUUGGGGAUGGACUCGCGGCUUAUCAGCUUGUUGGUGGGGUAGUGGCUUACCAAGGCUUUGACGGGUAGCCGGCCUGAGAGGGUGACCGGCCACAUUGGGACUGAGAUACGGCCCAGACUCCUACGGGAGGCAGCAGUGGGGAAUCUUGCACAAUGGGCGGAAGCCUGAUGCAGCAACGCCGCGUGCGGGAUGCCGGCCUUCGGGUUGUAAACCGCUUCCGCCUGUGACGAAGCGUGAGUGACGGUAAUGGGUAAAGAAGCACCGGCUAACUACGUG